CAGUAGCCGCGGGAAUACGUAGGUGGCAAGCGUUGUCCGGAAUUGUUGGGCGUAAAGGGCUCGCAGGCGGUUUCUUAAGUCUGAUGUGAAAGCCCCCGGCUCAACCGGGGAGGGUCAUUGGAAACUGGGAAACUUGAGUGCAGAAGAGGAGAGUGGAAUUCCACGUGUAGCGGUGAAAUGCGUAGAGAUGUGGAGGAACACCAGUGGCGAAGGCGACUCUCUGGUCUGUAACUGACGCUGAGGAGCGAAAGCGUGGGGAGCGGACAGGAUUAGAUACCCCUGUAGUCCCUGUCUCUUAUAC
This 301-nucleotide ribosomal RNA is filed under the name uncultured bacterium. RNAcentral describes it as "partial 16S ribosomal RNA". It matches the Rfam family "Bacterial small subunit ribosomal RNA", at positions 509 to 807 of the family's 1533-position model. The record is from RNAcentral.